UACGGAAGGCAGCAGUGGGGAAUAUUGGACAAUGGGCGAAAGCCUGAUCCAGCCAUGCCGCGUGUGUGAAGAAGGUCUUCGGAUUGUAAAGCACUUUAAGUUGGGAGGAAGGGCAGUAAAUUAAUACUUUGCUGUUUUGACGUUACCGACAGAAUAAGCACCGGCUAACUCUGUGCCAGCAGCCGCGGUAAUACAGAGGGUGCAAGCGUUAAUCGGAAUUACUGGGCGUAAAGCGCGCGUAGGUGGUUCGUUAAGUUGGAUGUGAAAUCCCCGGGCUCAACCUGGGAACUGCAUUCAAAACUGACGAGCUAGAGUAUGGUAGAGGGUGUGGAAUUUUCCUGUGUAGCGGUGAAAUGCGUAGAUAUAGGAAGGAACACCAGUGGCGAAGGCGACCACCUGGGACUGAUACUGACACUGAGGUGCGAAAGCGUGGGGAGCGAAACAGGAUUAGGAUACC
RNAcentral lists this ribosomal RNA (457 nucleotides) under uncultured bacterium. RNAcentral's name for it is "bacterial SSU rRNA". It matches the Rfam family "Bacterial small subunit ribosomal RNA", at positions 340 to 786 of the family's 1533-position model. The record is from RNAcentral.